This 617-nucleotide ribosomal RNA is filed under the name Hyobanche glabrata. RNAcentral describes it as "eukaryotic LSU rRNA". The stretch from base 238 to 393 matches the Rfam family "5.8S ribosomal RNA". The record is from RNAcentral. Lineage: Eukaryota; Viridiplantae; Streptophyta; Magnoliopsida; Lamiales; Orobanchaceae.
UUUCCGUAGGUGAACCUGCGGAAGGAUCAUUGUCGAUACCUGCACAGGCAGACCGCGAACUCGUUUUAAUACACUGGGCUCGUUGUGUGGGGGUAACUCCUCAGCGUGUCGCUCUCUUGCAUGGGCUGCGGGCAAACAAGCCCCGGCGCGGAAUGCGCCAAGGAAAACUAUUGUGAGCGUCCGCCCCUAUCGCCCCGUUUGCGGUGUGCGGGGGGGGAUGUUCCUUAAUGUCUAAAUGACUCUCGGCAACGGAUAUCUCGGCUCUCGCAACGAUGAAGAACGUAGCGAAAUGCGAUACUUGGUGUGAAUUGCAGAAUCCCGUGAACCAUCGAGUCUUUGAACGCAAGUUGCGCCCGAAGCCUCCUGGUUGAGGGCACGCCUGCCUGGGCAUCACACAUUGCGUCGCCCCCUUCCUCGGAUAAUGGCCUCCCGUUCGCGUCAGCUCACGGCUGGCUCAAAUGAAAUCACGUGGCGACCACCGUCACGACAACCGUUGGUUGAGCACUCCACUCUCUGCUUUCGUGUUGGGUGGGCUGCGUCCUCAUAGACCCAACGGCGUGAAUGCUCGCGCCAUUGAAUGCGACCCCAGGUCAGGCGGGAACACCCGCUGAGUUUAA